GUGUCCCCGCCUCUGUGAGCCCGGUCCCUCCCACUCGGUCUCAGGCUGCCUUCCACACAGCUCCAACCGUCAGACUGCCCUGCACCCGCUCUGCACAGCCUCCCCACAUGCUCGCUGCCAGCCUGGACCAGAACUGCUUCUAGGAGGACGCUGCACCCCGGUUUCUGACCCCACAGAAGUUCCUAGCUCCAAAUCUUCAGAUGUGAGCACACAACCUGGAGUGACUGCAGUGACCAGAAAAAUAAGAACAGACCACUAUCGAAUGUGGUGUUCCUGAGAGAAUCAUUGAAGGAUGCUGUGAUGCUGUGUGAUCUGUGGGUUGGUAGAUAAGCAGUUGGACGCAGUCAUUUCUCAUGGACUUUCCCAACCAGUUGGAUCUUGAAAAACCUUGUGUGUCCCUGAAAUUUCUCACAAAAUACAGUGGUUGAAAUUGAGCUGAACAUCAUGGCCAGCUCCUGGGAAGAAGACAUUCUUGAAAAGGAUUUCAGGAUCUUAUCAUCUCUAAGUUGUGGUGCAUUCGGGGAAGUGAUGCUUACCUGCCACAUGUACAGGCGGCAAUCAAGGUCCUUGAGAAAAAUCACAAUGCUCUGGCUCACAUCAGCUCUGAAGUAAACAUCCUUCAAUAUUUGGAACAUGUAA
This is a non-coding RNA of Peromyscus maniculatus bairdii (prairie deer mouse), 639 nucleotides long. NCBI's taxonomy places the organism in Eukaryota, Metazoa, Chordata, Mammalia, Rodentia, Cricetidae. The record is from RefSeq and is a predicted model, not a curated record.